Dipodomys ordii (Ord's kangaroo rat) is the source of this 72-nucleotide non-coding RNA. NCBI's taxonomy places the organism in Eukaryota, Metazoa, Chordata, Mammalia, Rodentia, Heteromyidae. The record is from Rfam.
GGGAAGGUGGCUCAGUGGUAGAGUAUUUGCCUCACAUGCAUGAGGCUGUGGGUUCGAUUCCUCAGCAUCACA